UACGUAGGCAGCGAGCGUUGUUCGGAGUUACUGGGCGUAAAGGGUGUGUAGGCGGUUGUUUAAGUUUGGUGUGAAAUCUCCCGGCUCAACUGGGAGGGUGCGCCGAAUACUGAAUGACUCGAGUGUGGGAGAGGUGAGUGGAAUUCCUGGUGUAGCGGUGAAAUGCGUAGAGAUCCGGAGGAACACCGACGGCGCAGGCAGCGUCCUGGCCGCUUGCUGACACUGAGGCACGAAAGCUGGGGGAGCAAACAGG
Molecule: ribosomal RNA, 253 nt
Filed under: uncultured bacterium
Lineage: Bacteria
Description: partial 16S ribosomal RNA
Rfam family: Bacterial small subunit ribosomal RNA
Source: RNAcentral